CCUACGGGACGCAGCAGUGGGGAAUAUUGCACAAUGGGGGAAACCCUGAUGCAGCGACGCCGCGUGAGUGAAGAAGUAUCUCGGUACGUAAAGCUCUAUCAGCAGGGAAGAAAAAAAGUCUUUGGCUUUGGACGGUACCUGACUAAGAAGCCCCGGCUAACUACGUGCCAGCAGCCGCGGUAAUACGUAGGGGGCAAGCGUUAUCCGGAUUUACUGGGUGUAAAGGGAGCGUAGACGGCAGGGCAAGUCUGAUGUGAAAGCCCGGGGCUCAACCCCGGGACUGCAUUGGAAACUGUCAGGCUAGA
RNAcentral lists this ribosomal RNA (305 nucleotides) under uncultured bacterium. RNAcentral's name for it is "bacterial SSU rRNA". It matches the Rfam family "Bacterial small subunit ribosomal RNA", at positions 338 to 645 of the family's 1533-position model. The record is from RNAcentral.